This 70-nucleotide transfer RNA is filed under the name Cautires sp. VK-2011. RNAcentral describes it as "tRNA-Gln". The record is from RNAcentral. Lineage: Eukaryota; Metazoa; Arthropoda; Insecta; Coleoptera; Lycidae.
AUAAAAUAGGAAAAUUUAAUUUUACAGUGAAAAUAUAAUGUUUUUUUUAAACUAUAUAAAUAAGAAAUAU